RNAcentral lists this ribosomal RNA (686 nucleotides) under uncultured bacterium. RNAcentral's name for it is "bacterial SSU rRNA". It matches the Rfam family "Bacterial small subunit ribosomal RNA", at positions 62 to 759 of the family's 1533-position model. The record is from RNAcentral.
UCGAACGGACUCAUAUUGAAACCUAGUGAUUUAUGAGUUAGUGGCGGACGGGUGAGUAGCGCGUGGAUAACCUGCCGUAUACCGGGGGAUAACACUUAGAAAUAGGUGCUAAUACCGCAUAAGCGCACGGCUCCGCAUGGGGCAGUGUGAAAAACUCCGGUGGUAUACGAUGGAUCCGCGUCUGAUUAGCUAGUUGGCGGGGUAACGGCCCACCAAGGCAGCGAUCAGUAGCUGGCCUGAGAGGGUGGACGGCCACAUUGGGACUGAGACACGGCCCAAACUCCUACGGGAGGCAGCAGUGGGGAAUAUUGCACAAUGGGGGAAACCCUGAUGCAGCGACGCCGCGUGAGUGAAGAAGUAUCUCGGUACGUAAAGCUCUAUCAGCAGGGAAGAAAAUGACGGUACCUGACUAAGAAGCCCCGGCUAACUACGUGCCAGCAGCCGCGGUAAUACGUAGGGGGCAAGCGUUAUCCGGAUUUACUGGGUGUAAAGGGAGCGUAGACGGUGAGACAAGUCUGAAGUGAAAGCCCGGGGCUCAACCCCGGGACUGCUUUGGAAACUGCCUGACUGGAGUGCUGGAGAGGCAAGCGGAAUUCCUAGUGUAGCGGUGAAAUGCGUAGAUAUUAGGAGGAACACCAGUGGCGAAGGCGGCUUACUGGACCGUAACUGACGUUGAGGCUCGAAAG